RNAcentral lists this ribosomal RNA (208 nucleotides) under uncultured delta proteobacterium. Its description in RNAcentral is "partial 16S ribosomal RNA". It matches the Rfam family "Bacterial small subunit ribosomal RNA", at positions 568 to 775 of the family's 1533-position model. Lineage: Bacteria; Deltaproteobacteria. The record is from RNAcentral.
CGUGCAGGCGGCUCGUUAAGUCUGAUGUGAAAGCCCCGGGCUCAACCCGGGAAGUGCAUUGGAAACUGGCGAACUUGAGUAUGGGAGAGGGAAGUGGAAUUCCGAGUGUAGGGGUGAAAUCCGUAGAUAUUCGGAGGAACACCAGUGGCGAAGGCGGCUUCCUGGACCAAUACUGACGCUGAGACGCGAAAGCGUGGGGAGCAAACAG